GUUUUAAUAAUUUAAAAAAAAUUUUGAUUUUGUAAUUCAAAUUUAAGAAAAUAUUUCUUUUAAAACU
Molecule: transfer RNA, 67 nt
Filed under: Pamphilius sp. ZJUH_2016023
Lineage: Eukaryota; Metazoa; Arthropoda; Insecta; Hymenoptera; Pamphiliidae
Description: tRNA-Thr
Source: RNAcentral